This is a long non-coding RNA of Hibiscus syriacus, 1280 nucleotides long. RefSeq lists it as uncharacterized. The record is from RefSeq and is a predicted model, not a curated record. The transcript has 5 exons. NCBI's taxonomy places the organism in Eukaryota, Viridiplantae, Streptophyta, Magnoliopsida, Malvales, Malvaceae.
UUGGUUUCUAACUAUCAGACUAAUUUAAUCAAAGAAAGUAUAAGAAUGGGUUACAAUGAUUUUUGAGAUUUUUAAUAUGCUCAUGGUGCAUUGGGGGAUGCUUUUAAAAGCUACGUUCGAACUCGAGAUUACUGUAUUACGUCAAAGCAUGUUAUUCAAAUGUGUUUGAGCGCUAUUCUUGUGAGCAUUGAGAUGGGUCAAUUUUCUCAUGUGAGAAGCUACAUUAGUAAGGCUGAGCAAAAACCCAAGGCACUUGACCCUCCCACUACUGCUAAGCUAUGAUGUGCCGUCAGAUUGCCUCAUUUGGAGUCUAAGAAGUACAAGCUUGCUGCUCGGAAGUUCUUGGAAGUGGGUUCUGAAUUGGGGAAUUCAGACAGUGAAGUCAUUGCUCCUCAAGAUGUUGCUACUUUGGUGUUCUUUGUGCACUUGCAAGCUUUGGUCGAACUGAACUGAGGGCAUAAAUCUCUCUAGUCCCCUUUUUUUAUUUUCUGGGAUUUCUUGGAGUUGGCACCUGAAGUAAGGGAGCUUAUUAAUGAUUUUGAUUCAAGCCAUUAUGCUUCCUGCUUGGAGUAUCUUGGAAACCUCAAAUCCAACCUGAUGCUUGACAUUCAUAUACAUGACCAUGUUGAGACUCUGUAUAAUCAAAUCCAGAGCAAAGCCCUCAUCAAGUAUACCCACCCAUUUGUGUCAGUUGAUAUGUGAAUGAUGGCUCUGGGAUACACUGUUCUGUAUAUACUCAAAAUUUAUCUCAUGAGUUCAUUUACAAGGUUAAAGAUGUAAUGGGGUACCUAGUUAAGUGGCCUAGACAUCUAGUCAUUCUAUGCUCUGAUUUGGUAAUAUUUUCAUUUAUUUAAAGAAAUUAUAUAGGUCUAAUUUAAAUGAUUUCUUUAUAUUUUCAUUUAUUUAAAGAAAUUAUAUAGGUCUGUAAUCUCGCCAUCAGGACGUAAGGUAAAAUUCAAAAAUAGCGAUGAGGCAAGUUGAAGCAUUGCAGAUCGAUUGUCUCUAAGAAAGGACAAUGACAUCGGCCUAGUGCCAUAUAAUCCAGGGUUUGUUUUUCAUUUGAUUAUAAAAAAAACUUAGUAACUUAAUUUGGUUUUUAUAGAAGACAUUGGGUGUUGGCGGUGAUAGAUAUGAAGCAACAAGUUAUUAUCAUGAUUCCUUGGGGCCCACCAAUGUCCAUCAGCAGUUGAAGCAGAUUAUUAAUGCGGCAAUGAUAUUAUACACUGCUCAAAGUGGAUCUACAAAAGGUUAGACUCAAUUAGAUCAAUGUUUGGUGAGGA